GGCGAUGUAGCUCAAUCGGCAGAGCAGCGGACUCAUAAGCCGCCGGUUACAGGUUCAAGUCCUGUCAUCGCCA
RNAcentral lists this transfer RNA (73 nucleotides) under Chloroflexota bacterium. Its description in RNAcentral is "Chloroflexi bacterium tRNA-Met". It matches the Rfam family "tRNA". Rfam says of the family: Transfer RNA (tRNA) molecules are approximately 80 nucleotides in length. Their secondary structure includes four short double-helical elements and three loops (D, anti-codon, and T loops). RNAcentral also lists the same sequence under 1 other name. The record is from RNAcentral. Lineage: Bacteria; Bacillati; Chloroflexota.